Non-coding RNA from Lonchura striata (white-rumped munia), 1034 nucleotides. NCBI's taxonomy places the organism in Eukaryota, Metazoa, Chordata, Aves, Passeriformes, Estrildidae. The record is from RefSeq and is a predicted model, not a curated record.
UGAGUGCUGCUUACAGUUUGGCUGAAGUUCUCAAAGUGCUCAAAUAGCACAUGGGCAGUCAUGCCUUAGUAACAGUCAGAAGAACCAACUUAAGACAGACACAUUUCCAUCAUCUCCCUUUGGUGUACUCUCAUGUGACAUGUGGCAGGAAGAACUGAGAUAUUCUGUCACUGCUCUCAGUGCUAGAAGAUCUCAGAGACAAAAAAAACUGGUGAACAGAGCCUUGUCGAGCCCCUCCGCCAACAGGCAAGCCACACUUCAUCAGGCAGUUUUUCUCAGGGAUUCUGAGAAAAUUCUCAGGGAUUCUGAGAAGAUUCAAACAGAACUUUCUUAACACCUCUAGCUGCAGAUAUUACUGCAGAAAUAUCCCGCUGGGAAAAGGCUGCAUAAGAUCUGGCCACCAUGUAAAUCUCACACUGAAGACUCACUUGGGAAGAAGAAAAGACAAAAAUUGUUGUGCUGGCUCUCUAAGUGAAGGAUGCCAUCUAUAUUUUCUUAUUCUUUCCAAGGUCAGACAAGCAUCCUUCCAAAGCCUCUGAUUCUGUUUCUUCAAGCACACAAGCUCACAGACAUUCUUCCAGUUCUCUGCUGAUGUAGUAUCCUCAGCUUUCAUUAUUAAAGACCCAUUAUGGGCUUUGGCUCCUACAGCUCACAUUAUAAUUUUCAAACUUACGAAAGCUGCAAGAAACUUCAACCCAAGCAAAGUGCAUAGGAAUGGAGCUCAAUUUAAGCUGUGCUAUGCAAAGAGGGGAGAAAUCUGGUGAUGGGCCUACAAAUGUCAUUGACAAGGAAAAGAAAAGGCUAAAGGCUCUGCUGGAGUGACUCCAUUGACUCCCAUGGCUUUCGUGGGCUUCAAUUUGCAAAACAGACGGAAGAAGAGAAAACCCUUCCUCCACCUCUCUCCCCUGCAAUUCUUGAAAGUGACAUCUGUGCAGUGCUGCAGGAAAGAUUACACAUCUUAGUCUUAUUUUUUUUUUUACCCUGCCACUCCCAAUUUAUUCAUGCCCACUAUCAUAAUAUUAAUUUUUCGCAAG